AGCGGGCGUAGCAAUACGUCAGCGGCAGACGGGUGAGUAACGCGUGGGAACGUACCUUUUGGUUCGGAACAACACAGGGAAACUUGUGCUAAUACCGAAUAAGCCCUUACGGGGAAAGAUUUAUCGCCGAAAGAUCGGCCCGCGUCUGAUUAGCUAGUUGGUGAGGUAACGGCUCACCAAGGCGACGAUCAGUAGCUGGUCUGAGAGGAUGAUCAGCCACAUUGGGACUGAGACACGGCCCAAACUCCUACGGGAGGCAGCAGUGGGGAAUAUUGGACAAUGGGCGCAAGCCUGAUCCAGCCAUGCCGCGUGAGUGAUGAAGGCCCUAGGGUUGUAAAGCUCUUUUGUGCGGGAAGAUAAUGACGGUACCGCAAGAAUAAGCCCCGGCUAACUUCGUGCCAGCAGCCGCGGUAAUACGAAGGGGGCUAGCGUUGCUCGGAAUCACUGGGCGUAAAGGGUGCGUAGGCGGGUCUUUAAAUCAGGGGUGAAAUCCUGGAGCUCAACUCCAGAACUGCCUUUGAUACUGAAGAUCUUGAGUUCUGGAGAGGUGAGUGGAACUGCCAGUGUAGAGGUGAAAA
Molecule: ribosomal RNA, 578 nt
Filed under: uncultured bacterium
Lineage: Bacteria
Description: bacterial SSU rRNA
Rfam family: Bacterial small subunit ribosomal RNA
Source: RNAcentral